Molecule: ribosomal RNA, 515 nt
Filed under: uncultured bacterium
Lineage: Bacteria
Description: bacterial SSU rRNA
Rfam family: Bacterial small subunit ribosomal RNA
Source: RNAcentral
GCCCAGACUCCUACGGGAGGCAGCAGUGGGGAAUAUUGCGCAAUGGGCGGAAGCCUGACGCAGCGACGCCGCGUGGGGGAUGAAGGCCUUCGGGUUGUAAACCCCUUUCACCAGGAGCGAAUCCAGACGGUACCUGGGGAAGAAGCGCCGGCUAACUACGUGCCAGCAGCCGCGGUAAUACGUAGGGCGCAAGCGUUGUCCGGAAUUAUUGGGCGUAAAGAGCUCGUAGGCGGCCUGUCGCGUCCGCUGUGAAAUCCUGGGGCUUAACCCCGGGCGUGCAGUGGAUACGGGCUGGCUAGAGGCAGGCAGGGGAGAACGGAAUUCCCGGUGUAGCGGUGAAAUGCGCAGAUAUCGGGAGGAACACCGGUGGCGAAGGCGGUUCUCUGGGCCUGUUCUGACGCUGAGGAGCGAAAGCGUGGGGAGCAAACAGGAUUAGAUACCCUGGUAGUCCACGCCGUAAACGUUGGGCGCUAGGUGUGGGGCCCUUCCACGGGCUCUGUGCCGCAGCUAACGCA